Molecule: long non-coding RNA, 3147 nt
Filed under: Heterocephalus glaber (naked mole-rat)
Lineage: Eukaryota; Metazoa; Chordata; Mammalia; Rodentia; Bathyergidae
Description: lncRNA (ENSHGLG00000039389.1)
Source: RNAcentral
UACCCCGGCUUUCCUGCAAAGGAAAGCCCGGGUAGAAAUGAUUAGGAGCUCCGCCCUGGCGCUGUCGCUGCUGCCGUUAGCGUCCGCCCGACACAAGCCUGCCGCACACAGCAAACUUGGACCGCGUGGGGCGCGCGGGGUGCGCGGGGCUUCCCUGCCCUCCUGCUGCUCUCCGACCUGCCUCGCCCCUGGCCGUCCCAGCUCCCCGGGGUGCGCUCCGAUUGGGGCUGUACGAAACAGUUUCAGCACCAAAGACAUGGGAGUGACGAAGAUGCACGAGGCCUGGACCCUGCGGAGCUCACAUUCCGGUGGGAUAGAGACAGAAAACAGGCCCGUACUAUAAUAUCCGGUAACGGAAAGUAGGAAGAAGUAGGAAGGGCUAGAGAGUAACAUGCAGACUUGCUGGUAGGAAGGGCCUCUCUACGGGGUAUCAUUUGAACAAGAUGCCUCAAGGGGAGGAAGAGCCUCGGAUAGCAAGAUCUCGGACCAUGGAUAGAAGAGCGAAUGCAGAGGUCCUAGACCAAGGGCCGACUUAGUGUACUGGGAAAAGAAAGAUCAGUAUGGGUAGAAAAAUGUCACCGAGGAAAUGUCGCAGAAGGUAAAACAGAAAGGUAAGCAGAGGCCAGGUGAGGCAGAGCCGCUUAGCCGGUGGUAAGAAAAUUUCAUUUUAUUCUGAGCGCAGUGGGAAGAUAUUGAAGAACUUGCAUCAGUGUGAUAGAAUGUAAUUUGGGCUUUUGAAGACUGCUGUGGCCGUGCACACGUUCGAAGUUAUUAAGUGGCAUAAGCAACGAGUGCUUAGCGUGGGGAGGCUGCGAAGGGGACUGUUUGAAAUGAGCCUCCGUCUCCGGAUGGAAAGGCAGGAUCUGUGAUGGAAAGAGGAACAUUUCAUCAGUGUCCCCUGGCUGCGGCCUUAGACACCACAUGGCAGCGAUGCGUGCCCUGAAUGCUUGGGGCGCUUUCUACCCACCUGCCUGUAAACCAUGCAAAGUCUGGGGCCCUGUGCGCCUCCACCACGCGGGGCUGCAGAGUCGCCUCCACUCCCCUCUCCUGCUCUACAGUAGGUAUUCCUGGAAGAGCCGUCUCCUGAGGUUGACUUGCUCCACUGAGGGGGAUCUGGGCUCCUCCCGACUGCAGGGAGCCCUACAGCCCCCGGAUACACUGCAGUAGCUCAGUGGCAGAUUGGAGCUUGCCCAGUGCAGAUCGAGCCAGAAUGGAGAGCAGAGAAAUCUCCCUUCCCACCCCUACUCUCCUCGUGGCAAACAAACCACUUGUUCUGGUGACCGGUUGUGGCUCUGCUCACGAAGCAGGGACUAGCUUGUAACUCGUCAUCUUGAAUUUGUGCCCGAUCGUUUUCUGUCUAAUUUUCCUGCUCCCGUAUGCUCACGACCUUAGUUCACACCUGCCACAAAACCAUCAGUACUUAAGUCCCUUCUCCGGUUUUGUUUUCUACAGAAGCCGAGCUAAAGCCAGGGGAUCCAACCUCCAGUGUGAGGUGUGUUAAGGUUGAGGUUUGUGAUAAAUACAAAUAGGGUUUUGGACAUGUAUGUCUAGACUGUGGAGAAGAGGUCCAGGUAGGCCAAGGCUUCUCAUCCUCAGCACUGCUGACAUUUGAACGAGUUACUGCUGGGCUGUGGAGGGCUGUCCUGUGCAUUGGAGGACAUUCAGUAGCAUCCCUGGUCUCACUUCUGGAGAUACCAGCAGCACCAGUGCCCAGUUGUGACAACCAAAAAUUUCUCCAGGCACUGCCCGAUCACCUGCCCAACCACGAGGGUGGAUGUUGUGGUUAGAUCUGACAUGUCCCCCAGAUUCUCUUGUGUGUGGAAGGCCAUUGGACCAUGGGGUGACUUUCUGUUGGGAGGGGGUCUGGCUGGACCAGCCCCUGGGACAUCUCCUCACUUUGCUUCCUGUCUUCCAGGGGAUGAGCAGCUGUCCCUCACCCGAACCCUUCUCUUGGCCCAUUUCUGCCGACUCCACUGAAACCACCAAAAUAAACCUGUCUUCCUUUAAGUUGCAGGUGUGGGUAUUGUGUUUCAGUGACAAAGAAGGUGACUAAGAUUGAAGGAGAGCACUUGAGCACGAAGGUAGAAGGAGAAGAGGAAACAUUCAGAGAUUGUGCUUCAGGAUGGGAGGCCAGGCGGAGAAGGAAGAGCUGGCAACACAGCCAAGAGGGAGCAGCUGGCAAGCUCCCUGGUCAACGCAGACAAAGCACCACAACAUCCUCAAAUCCCCGACAGGGCCUCCUUGUGCUGCACAGUGUGUCUCUCUUCUCGUGUUCCUUCAGCAUCGGUGAGUCUCCUCCUUGGGGCUGGAGGUGCUUCCCCUUCCUCUUACCCAGCACAGCUCGAUGGAAAGGUCACUUCCCAUUGGACUUCACGCCUUGAGCAGAGUGAAGCCCCUGACUUCGCCUCCUUGACCUCCGCCCAGGCAUGCUGGGAUUAAGAAUUCUCAAGGCGACUUUGGAGCCCUGCUUAUCUCUGUUUCUAACUUUCUCUUGGAUUUUAUCUCACCACAAGUCUGGCUUCGAAAAAUAUGUUUUAACAUUGCAGCCUAAUUUUCAUUGCAUGUAGUGGAAGGAUUUAUUCCUAUAACCUAGCGGGCCGUAGGAAUUGGAAUUAUCCACCUUCUCCUUCCUCACUGUUGUGCAAGAAAUAGAAUAAAUGAAAUUUCAGGUUAUUGUUCAUAAAGGUUAUUGUUCCGAAAACUGAUUUGACAGAGGCUGUGGCUCUUUACAGAGGAAUGCAGACAAAAGACAGGUUAGAAAUUGUAAGGUUUUGAACAUGACCUUUUAUCUGUGCAGUUGGUAGGUGCCGAUGGAAGGAGCGAGAAAAGGAAAAUGUGUGCAGUGACUAGAUACACUCGGCCGACUCUCUGACAUCUGAAAGACACUGUAGACUUAAUCCAAGAGCCAGCAGUAACCUUAGGCUGUCCUUGAGUGUGAAGAGUGACUCCUCACGUCUCCAUAAACAGGCCCUGUAUACCACAGUUCUCUCCUGGUACUCUGAGCAAAUGUUUGGAAAAUGCUUAUGCAAAGCUUAUUAAAUGUGCUUGCAAAUCUAGAAUACUGACUUAAAUUGCAGCAAUGCAAUACAAAGCAAAAUAGAUGGAAGUUUUCUGGACAUGAGUUUUGUUAAAACAGGAAACAAAACA